GAUGAACGCUGGCGGCGUGCCUAAUACAUGCAAGUCGAACGCUGGAGAUCUAGCUUGCUAGAUCGAAGGAGUGGCGAACGGGUGAGUAAUACAUAAGCAACCUACCCACGAAGACUGGGAUAAUCUCUGGAAACGGGGACUAAUACCGGAUAGGUAAUCGGAAGGCAUCUUCUGGUUAUUAAAGGUUAAAAACACUGGUGGAUGGGCUUAUGGCGCAUUAGUUAGUUGGUGAGGUAACGGCCCACCAAGACGAUGAUGCGUAGCCGGCCUGAGAGGGUGAACGGCCAUAUUGGGACUGAGACACGGCCCAGACUCCUACGGGAGGCAGCAGUAGGGAAUUUUCGGCAAUGGGGGCAACCCUGACCGAGCAACGCCGCGUGAGUGAAGACGGCCUUCGGGUUGUAAAGCUCUGUUGUAAGGGAAGAACGGUAGAUAGAGAAUAUCUAAGUGACGGUACCUUACCAGAAAGCCACGGCUAACUACGUG
Molecule: ribosomal RNA, 486 nt
Filed under: uncultured bacterium
Lineage: Bacteria
Description: partial 16S ribosomal RNA
Rfam family: Bacterial small subunit ribosomal RNA
Source: RNAcentral